UACGUAGGGGGCAAGCGUUGUCCGGAAUCAUUGGGCGUAAAGAGCGCGUAGGCGGCCCUGUAAGUCCGCUGUGAAAGUCAAGGGCUCAACCCUUGAAUGCCGGUGGAUACUGCAGGGCUAGAGUCCGGAAGAGGCGAGUGGAAUUCCUGGUGUAGCGGUGGAAUGCGCAGAUAUCAGGAGGAACACCAAUAGCGAAGGCAGCUCGCUGGGACGGCACUGACGCUAAGGCGCGAAAGCGUGGGGAGCGAACAGG
RNAcentral lists this ribosomal RNA (253 nucleotides) under uncultured bacterium. RNAcentral's name for it is "partial 16S ribosomal RNA". It matches the Rfam family "Bacterial small subunit ribosomal RNA", at positions 524 to 776 of the family's 1533-position model. The record is from RNAcentral.